GGUUAAGCGACUAAGCGUACACGGUGGAUGCCCUGGCAGUCAGAGGCGAUGAAGGACGUGCUAAUCUGCGAUAAGCGUCGGUAAGGUGAUAUGAACCGUUAUAACCGGCGAUUUCCGAAUGGGGAAACCCAGUGUGUUUCGACACACUAUCAUUAACUGAAUCCAUAGGUUAAUGAGGCGAACCGGGGGAACUGAAACAUCUAAGUACCCCGAGGAAAAGAAAUCAACCGAGAUUCCCCCAGUAGCGGCGAGCGAACGGGGAGCAGCCCAGAGCCUGAAUCAGUGUGUGUGUUAGUGGAAGCGUCUGGAAAGGCGCGCGAUACAGGGUGACAGCCCCGUACACAAAAAUGCACAUACUGUGAGCUCGAUGAGUAGGGCGGGACACGUGGUAUCCUGUCUGAAUAUGGGGGGACCAUCCUCCAAGGCUAAAUACUCCUGACUGACCGAUAGUGAACCAGUACCGUGAGGGAAAGGCGAAAAGAACCCCGGCGAGGGGAGUGAAAAAGAACCUGAAACCGUGUACGUACAAGCAGUGGGAGCACGCUUCGGCGUGUGACUGCGUACCUUUUGUAUAAUGGGUCAGCGACUUAUAUUCUGUAGCAAGGUUAACCGAAUAGGGGAGCCGAAGGGAAACCGAGUCUUAACUGGGCGUUAAGUUGCAGGGUAUAGACCCGAAACCCGGUGAUCUAGCCAUGGGCAGGUUGAAGGUUGGGUAACACUAACUGGAGGACCGAACCGACUAAUGUUGAAAAAUUAGCGGAUGACUUGUGGCUGGGGGUGAAAGGCCAAUCAAACCGGGAGAUAGCUGGUUCUCCCCGAAAGCUAUUUAGGUAGCGCCUCGUGAAUUCAUCUCCGGGGGUAGAGCACUGUUUCGGCAAGGGGGUCAUCCCGACUUACCAACCCGAUGCAAACUGCGAAUACCGGAGAAUGUUAUCACGGGAGACACACGGCGGGUGCUAACGUCCGUCGUGAAGAGGGAAACAACCCAGACCGCCAGCUAAGGUCCCAAAGUCAUGGUUAAGUGGGAAACGAUGUGGGAAGGCCCAGACAGCCAGGAUGUUGGCUUAGAAGCAGCCAUCAUUUAAAGAAAGCGUAAUAGCUCACUGGUCGAGUCGGCCUGCGCGGAAGAUGUAACGGGGCUAAACCAUGCACCGAAGCUGCGGCAGCGACACUAUGUGUUGUUGGGUAGGGGAGCGUUCUGUAAGCCUGUGAAGGUGUGCUGUGAGGCAUGCUGGAGGUAUCAGAAGUGCGAAUGCUGACAUAAGUAACGAUAAAGCGGGUGAAAAGCCCGCUCGCCGGAAGACCAAGGGUUCCUGUCCAACGUUAAUCGGGGCAGGGUGAGUCGACCCCUAAGGCGAGGCCGAAAGGCGUAGUCGAUGGGAAACAGGUUAAUAUUCCUGUACUUGGUGUUACUGCGAAGGGGGGACGGAGAAGGCUAUGUUGGCCGGGCGACGGUUGUCCCGGUUUAAGCGUGUAGGCUGGUUUUCCAGGCAAAUCCGGAAAAUCAAGGCUGAGGCGUGAUGACGAGGCACUACGGUGCUGAAGCAACAAAUGCCCUGCUUCCAGGAAAAGCCUCUAAGCAUCAGGUAACAUUAAAUCGUACCCCAAACCGACACAGGUGGUCAGGUAGAGAAUACCAAGGCGCUUGAGAGAACUCGGGUGAAGGAACUAGGCAAAAUGGUGCCGUAACUUCGGGAGAAGGCACGCUGAUAUGUAGGUGAAGUCCCUCGCGGAUGGAGCUGAAAUCAGUCGAAGAUACCAGCUGGCUGCAACUGUUUAUUAAAAACACAGCACUGUGCAAACACGAAAGUGGACGUAUACGGUGUGACGCCUGCCCGGUGCCGGAAGGUUAAUUGAUGGGGUUAGCGGUAACGCGAAGCUCUUGAUCGAAGCCCCGGUAAACGGCGGCCGUAACUAUAACGGUCCUAAGGUAGCGAAAUUCCUUGUCGGGUAAGUUCCGACCUGCACGAAUGGCGUAAUGAUGGCCAGGCUGUCUCCACCCGAGACUCAGUGAAAUUGAACUCGCUGUGAAGAUGCAGUGUACCCGCGGCAAGACGGAAAGACCCCGUGAACCUUUACUAUAGCUUGACACUGAACAUUGAGCCUUGAUGUGUAGGAUAGGUGGGAGGCUUUGAAGUGUGGACGCCAGUCUGCAUGGAGCCGACCUUGAAAUACCACCCUUUAAUGUUUGAUGUUCUAACGUUGACCCGUGAUCCGGGUUGCGGACAGUGUCUGGUGGGUAGUUUGACUGGGGCGGUCUCCUCCUAAAGAGUAACGGAGGAGCACGAAGGUUGGCUAAUCCUGGUCGGACAUCAGGAGGUUAGUGCAAUGGCAUAAGCCAGCUUGACUGCGAGCGUGACGGCGCGAGCAGGUGCGAAAGCAGGUCAUAGUGAUCCGGUGGUUCUGAAUGGAAGGGCCAUCGCUCAACGGAUAAAAGGUACUCC
Molecule: ribosomal RNA, 2444 nt
Filed under: Escherichia coli
Lineage: Bacteria; Pseudomonadati; Pseudomonadota; Gammaproteobacteria; Enterobacterales; Enterobacteriaceae
Description: partial 23S ribosomal RNA
Rfam family: Bacterial large subunit ribosomal RNA
Source: RNAcentral